ACUCCUACGGGAGGCAGCAGUGGGGAAUAUUGGACAAUGGGGGAAACCCUGAUCCAGCCAUGCCGCGUGUGUGAAGAAGGCCUUCGGGUUGUAAAGCACUUUCAGUGGGGAGGAAAGGUUGUUGGUUAAUACCUAACAGCUGUGACGUUACCCACAGAAGAAGCACCGGCUAACUCCGUGCCAGCAGCCGCGGUAAUACGGAGGGUGCGAGCGUUAUCCGGAUUUAUUGGGUUUAAAGGGUCCGUAGGCGGAUUAAUAAGUCAGUGGUGAAAUCCCAUCGCUUAACGAUGGAACUGCCAUUGAUACUGUUAGUCUUGAAUGAGGGUGCAGUGGUUGGAAUGUGUAGUGUAGCGGUGAAAUGCAUAGAUAUUACACAGAACACCGAUUGCGAAGGCAGAUCACUAACCCUAAAUUGACGCUGAGGGACGAAAGCGUGGGGGAGCGAACAGGAUUAGAUACCCUGUAGGCUCUG
This 472-nucleotide ribosomal RNA is filed under the name uncultured bacterium. RNAcentral's name for it is "bacterial SSU rRNA". It matches the Rfam family "Bacterial small subunit ribosomal RNA", at positions 335 to 799 of the family's 1533-position model. The record is from RNAcentral.